UGGGGAAUAUUGCACAAUGGGGGAAACCCUGAUGCAGCGACGCCGCGUGAACGAAGAAGGUAUUCGUAUCGUAAAGUUCUGUCCUGUGGGAAGAUAAUGACAGUACCAUAGAAGAAAGCUCCGGCUAAAUACGUGCCAGCAGCCGCGGUAAUACGUAUGGAGCGAGCGUUGUCCGGAAUUAUUGGGCGUAAAGGGUACGCAGGCGGUUUAAUAAGUCGAAUGUUAAAGAUCGGGGCUCAACCCCGCAAAGCAUUGGAAACUGAUAAACUUGAGUAGUGGAGAGGAAAGUGGAAUUCCUAGUGUAGUGGUGAAAUACGUAGAUAUUAGGAGGAAUACCAGUAGCGAAGGCGACUUUCUGGACACAAACUGACGCUGAGGUACGAAAGCGUGGGGAGCAAACAGG
RNAcentral lists this ribosomal RNA (403 nucleotides) under bacterium. Its description in RNAcentral is "partial 16S ribosomal RNA". It matches the Rfam family "Bacterial small subunit ribosomal RNA", at positions 355 to 776 of the family's 1533-position model. The record is from RNAcentral.